RNAcentral lists this long non-coding RNA (1284 nucleotides) under Canis lupus familiaris (dog). RNAcentral's name for it is "lncRNA (ENSCAFG00040002043.1)". Lineage: Eukaryota; Metazoa; Chordata; Mammalia; Carnivora; Canidae. The record is from RNAcentral.
AUGCGCGGGCCCCGGGCGCCGGGGGUGGGGGUGGGGGUGGGGGUGGGGGUGGGGGCCGACGAGGCGGCCGGGCCCGCGACCCUCCCGGAAGCCGCGGCCGGGGCGGGGCGGGGCCGCCUUUCCGCCGGAGGGUCGGGGGCGCGGGGGGGCGGGGACGCCAGGCCGGAAGCGCCCGCCGCGGGGCCUCACCUGCGCGCACCUGGGCCCGCCCGCGCCGCGGGCUCCGAGGGACGCGGGGCCGCCUCGGGGGCGCACCCCCGCCCCGCCCCGCCCCAGCCCCCGCCCCCGCCCCCGCCGGGCGGCGGCCCCGGCGCUCCCCCGCGCCUGGCCCGGCCGCGCUCGCCCCGCCCGCCGCCGCCCCCGGCCCGCCGCCCGCGCGCGCCCCGGGGAAGAGAGGGGAGGGCGGGGGCCAGGGGCGGGCGCGGCCGGGGAGGCGGCGGGCGGGCGCGGGCCGGGGCCGGGGCCGGGGCCGGGGGCGGGGCGGGCGGGCGGGCGCGGGCGGCGGCGGCGCCCCCUCCCGGACCUACCGGCGGCCGCGCUCCGGAAGCCGUGCCCGGUGGCUGGGCAUCAUGGGAAUGGCACGGCCGAGUUCCGGGGGAGGCGCGCGGCCCGCCGGACCCCCGCCCGCGAGCGCGCGCCCACCUGCCGGCCCCUGCGGGGCGCCCCCGCCCGCGCCCGCGCCCCCGCCCCGCGCCCCCCGAGGCCCCCCGCGCCCCCCGCGCCCCGCGUCCCCCGAGGCCCCCCGCGGCCCCCGCGGCCCCCGCGGCCCCCGCGGCCCCCGCCCCCGCGCGCCCAGCCUGGCUCGGGCCGGGGCGUCCCCGCGCCUGGGAGUUCGGGGUGGCUGACGUGGGGCCCCCGCCCGCCCUGCCGGAGGCGGGACCGACCCUGGGGGCCCGCCCUGUCCCCGGGGUGCCGGCGCGGCGGGGGCGCGCCCGGGGAGCGCGGGAGGUGGGGAGCCGGAGGGGCUGCGGCCCUGCCCGGUGCCGCGACCACCAGGCUGCAGCGCUCCUAGAAGUGCCCCGUGAGGUCCCGCCCGUGCGCGGCUCCGAGCCCGGCGCGGUCCUCCCGCCGGGGUGUGCGCCGAGCUCCGCGCCGAGCCCGCCCGCGGGCCUGGCCGGGCCGGGCCGCAGCCGCGCGCUCCCAGCCCCGCACGCCCCGGGCCGCUGCUCUGCUCCGGGGAAGCUGACCAGGCCGCCAGCCUCCUGGGCCUUUAGUUGCGGCCAUUGCUUCCCGGCCUGCGCGCUCCCUCGCCCCAGAGUAAGACGUCGGGACCCCAGGAGGUGA